Molecule: ribosomal RNA, 119 nt
Organism: Tupaia belangeri (northern tree shrew)
Lineage: Eukaryota; Metazoa; Chordata; Mammalia; Scandentia; Tupaiidae
Source: Ensembl
GCCCACAGUCAAACCACCCUGAACACACCUAAUGUCCUCUGAUCUCAGAAGCUGAGUGGGGUCAGGCCUGGUUAAUAGCUGGAUAGGAGACCACCGAGGAGUACUGGGUGUUGUAGGCU